This 502-nucleotide ribosomal RNA is filed under the name uncultured Gammaproteobacteria bacterium. Its description in RNAcentral is "bacterial SSU rRNA". It matches the Rfam family "Bacterial small subunit ribosomal RNA", at positions 8 to 524 of the family's 1533-position model. Lineage: Bacteria; Pseudomonadati; Pseudomonadota; Gammaproteobacteria. The record is from RNAcentral. RNAcentral also lists the same sequence under 1 other name.
AGAGUUUGAUCCUGGCUCAGAUUGAACGCUGGCGGCAGGCCUAACACAUGCAAGUCGAACGGUAACAGGAAGCAGCUUGCUGCUUCGCUGACGAGUGGCGGACGGGUGAGUAAUGUCUGGGAAACUGCCUGAUGGAGGGGGAUAACUACUGGAAACGGUAGCUAAUACCGCAUAACGUCGCAAGACCAAAGAGGGGGACCUUAGGGCCUCUUGCCAUCGGAUGUGCCCAGAUGGGAUUAGCUAGUAGGUGGGGUAACGGCUCACCUAGGCGACGAUCCCUAGCUGGUCUGAGAGGAUGACCAGCCACACUGGAACUGAGACACGGUCCAGACUCCUACGGGAGGCAGCAGUGGGGAAUAUUGCACAAUGGGCGAAAGCCUGAUCCAGCAAUGCCGCGUGAGUGAUGAAGGCCUUAGGGUUGUAAAGCUCUUUUACCCGGGAUGAUAAUGACAGUACCGGGAGAAUAAGCUCCGGCUAACUCCGUGCCAGCAGCCGCGGUAAU